Molecule: ribosomal RNA, 441 nt
Filed under: uncultured bacterium
Lineage: Bacteria
Description: partial 16S ribosomal RNA
Rfam family: Bacterial small subunit ribosomal RNA
Source: RNAcentral
CCUACGGGUGGCAGCAGUGGGGGAUAUUGCACAAUGGGGGGAACCCUGAUGCAGCGACGCCGCGUGGGUGAAGGAGCGUUUCGGCGCGUAAAGCCCUAUCGGCAGGGAAGAAGGAGGACGGUACCUGACUAAGAAGCCCCGGCUAACUACGUGCCAGCAGCCGCGGUAAUACGUAGGGGGCAAGCGUUAUCCGGAUUUACUGGGUGUAAAGGGGGCGCAGACGGCAGCGCAAGCCAGGAGUGAAAGCCCGGGGCCCAACCCCGGGACUGCUCUUGGAACUGCGCGGCUGGAGUGCAGGAGGGGCAGGCGGAAUUCAUGGUGUAGCGGUGAAAUGCUUAGAUAUCAUGAAGAACUCCGAUCGCGAAGGCAAGUGUCCGGGGUGCAACUGACGCUGAGGCUCGAAAGUGCGGGUAUCAAACAGGAUUAGAUACCCCAGUAGUC